CAGCCGCCGCGGUAAUACGAAGGGGGCUAGCGUUGUUCGGAAUUACUGGGCGUAAAGCGCACGUAGGCGGAUAUUUAAGUCAGGGGUGAAAUCCCGCAGCUCAACUGCGGAACUGCCUUUGAUACUGGGUAUCUUGAGUAUGGAAGAGGUAAGUGGAAAUGCGAGUGUAGAGGUGAAAUUCGUAGAUAUUCGCAGGAACACCAGUGGCGAAGGCGGCUUACUGGUCCAUAACUGACGCUGAGGUGCGAAAGCGUGGGGAGCAAACAGGAUUAGAUACCCGUGUAGUCCCUGUCUCUUAUAA
Molecule: ribosomal RNA, 301 nt
Filed under: uncultured bacterium
Lineage: Bacteria
Description: partial 16S ribosomal RNA
Rfam family: Bacterial small subunit ribosomal RNA
Source: RNAcentral